RNAcentral lists this unclassified non-coding RNA (330 nucleotides) under Hevea brasiliensis (rubber tree). Lineage: Eukaryota; Viridiplantae; Streptophyta; Magnoliopsida; Malpighiales; Euphorbiaceae. The record is from RNAcentral.
UUGAAGAUUCAGCCUGCUAUAAGGGAUGAGUUUCAAUUCGUCAUUUGGGUAACUGUUCCCAAGAUUUUAAAUCUGACAGAGUUGCGGCUAGAAAUUGCAAGACAAUUGCCUUUGUCUGAUAAAAAGUCUAUAUACAGAGAGACUCUUUUGAGUUUUCUAAAGCGCGUCAAGUUUUUUCUGAUUCUGGAUGGUGUUCAUGAGUUUAUUGGCUUGAACACAGUGGGAAUCCCUAAGCCAACUCCAGAAAAUGGGUGCAAGAUAGUNNUUUAACUACUAGAUCAGGGCAAAUUUGUGACAGAAUGUUAGUGGACUUGAAGAUAAAUGUGGAGG